GACGUAGGGCGCGAGCGUUGUCCGGAUUUAUUGGGCGUAAAGAGCUCGUAGGCGGUCCAUCACGUCGGGAGUGAAAAGCUGGGGCUUAACCCCAGUCCUGCUUCCGAUACGGGUGGACUAGAGGUAGGUAGGGGAGAACGGAAUUCCUGGUGUAGCGGUGAAAUGCGCAGAUAUCAGGAGGAACACCGGUGGCGAAGGCGGUUCUCUGGGCCUUACCUGACGCUGAGGAGCGAAAGCGUGGGGAGCAAACAGG
This 253-nucleotide ribosomal RNA is filed under the name uncultured bacterium. RNAcentral describes it as "partial 16S ribosomal RNA". It matches the Rfam family "Bacterial small subunit ribosomal RNA", at positions 524 to 776 of the family's 1533-position model. The record is from RNAcentral.